RNAcentral lists this small RNA (476 nucleotides) under Pongo abelii (Sumatran orangutan). Its description in RNAcentral is "retained intron". Lineage: Eukaryota; Metazoa; Chordata; Mammalia; Primates; Hominidae. The record is from RNAcentral.
GGCCGGAAACCCCUUCGCAUGGCAGCCGGUUCCGGUUCGGACUUUGUAUCUUUGCUAAAGUCAGUGAUGUGAAAAGACUUGAAAUGGAUGAUAUUGCUGAUAGGAUGAGGAUGGAUGCUGGAGAAGUGACUUUAGUGAACCACAACUCCGUAUUCAAAACCCACCUCCUGCCACAAACAGGUUUUCCAGAGGACCAGCUUUCGCUUUCUGACCAGCAGGUUAGGAGCAAUUUUCUUCCUUUAAUUAAUUAAUUAUUUGGGCUCAUCAUAAGUUUUCAUCUUAUGUAGUUUAAAUGCCACACUCAAAAAUACAAGCAUAGCUAUAAACUUUUUAGAAUCAGUAAUUUUAGUGUUUGGAAUUCUGCUCUAUAUAUUAAAAUUAAGACAAGGACGUUAAGACAAAAUAGGCUAUGUAUGAGUUCUUUGAGAACAGUACCUUUUGGAAAACUCAUUGUUCCUCUGAAUUUUAAACUUAAC